GAUGAACGCUAGCGGCAGGCCUAACCCAUGCAAGUCGAGGGGCAGCACAUAAAGUGGUUUACUACUUUUGGUGGCGACCGGCGGACGGGUGCGUAACGCGUAUGCAACCUGCCUCCAACAGGGGGAUAACGGGGAGAAAUUUCCACUAAUACCCCAUAAUAUCGGAAUCGGCAUCGGUUUUGGUUGAAAACUCCGGUGGUUGGAGAUGGGCAUGCGUUGUAUUAGAUAGUUGGUGAGGUAACGGCUCACCAAGUCAACGAUACAUAGGGGGACUGAGAGGUUAGCCCCCCCACACUGGUACUGAGACACGGACCAGACUCCUACGGGAGGCAGCAGUGAGGAAUAUUGGUCAAUGGGGGCAACCCUGAACCAGCCAUGCCGCGUGCAGGAAGACGGCUCUAUGAGUUGUAAACUGCUUUUACAAGGGGAUAAAUCGGUGUACGUGUACACCGUUGAAGGUACCUUGGGAAUAAGGAUCGGCUAACUCCGUGCCAGCCGCCGCCGUAA
RNAcentral lists this ribosomal RNA (507 nucleotides) under uncultured bacterium. RNAcentral's name for it is "partial 16S ribosomal RNA". It matches the Rfam family "Bacterial small subunit ribosomal RNA", at positions 28 to 523 of the family's 1533-position model. The record is from RNAcentral.